This 119-nucleotide ribosomal RNA is filed under the name Triticum aestivum (bread wheat). Lineage: Eukaryota; Viridiplantae; Streptophyta; Magnoliopsida; Poales; Poaceae. The record is from RNAcentral.
GGAUGCGAUCAUACCAGCACUAAAGCACCGGAUCCCAUCAGAACUCCGAAGUUAAGCGUGCUUGGGAGAGAGUAGUACUAGGAUGGGUGACCUCCUUGGAAGUCCUCAUGUUGCAUUCC